UGGGGAAUUUUGGACAAUUGGGCGAAAGCCUGAUCCAGCAAUGCCGCGUGUGUGAAGAAGGCCUUCGGGUUGUAAAGCACUUUUGUCCGGAAAGAAAUCCUUGGCUCUAAUACAGUCGGGGGAUGACGGUACCGGAAGAAUAAGCACCGGCUAACUACGUGCCAGCAGCCGCGGUAAUACGUAGGGUGCAAGCGUUAAUCGGAAUUACUGGGCGUAAAGCGUGCGCAGGCGGUUUGCUAAGACCGAUGUGAAAUCCCCGGGCUCAACCUGGGAACUGCAUUGGUGACUGGCAGGCUAGAGUAUGGCAGAGGGGGGUAGAAUUCCACGUGUAGCAGUGAAAUGCGUAGAGAUGUGGAGGAAUACCGAUGGCGAAGGCAGCCCCCUGGGCAAUACUGACGCUCAUGCACGAAAGCGUGGGGAGCAAACAGGAUUAGAUACCCUGGUAGUCCACGCCCUAAACGAUGUCAACUAGUUGUUGGGGAUUCAUUUCCUUAGUAACGUAGCUAACGCGUGAAGUUGACCGCCUGGGGAGUACGGUCGCAAGAUUAAAACUUAAAGGAAUUGACGGGGUCAUAGCGUUUCCU
This 584-nucleotide ribosomal RNA is filed under the name uncultured bacterium. RNAcentral's name for it is "partial 16S ribosomal RNA". It matches the Rfam family "Bacterial small subunit ribosomal RNA", at positions 355 to 937 of the family's 1533-position model. The record is from RNAcentral.